RNAcentral lists this unclassified non-coding RNA (312 nucleotides) under Hevea brasiliensis (rubber tree). The record is from RNAcentral. Lineage: Eukaryota; Viridiplantae; Streptophyta; Magnoliopsida; Malpighiales; Euphorbiaceae.
GCUAAUUUAGUAUUUUGAUAUUUGGUUAGAGAAGUCAUGGAAGGACUGUUCUUAAUGACUAUUGUCAGGCAUCUGUACAAUAUUAGUUUUUGAGUAGGUUAUAAAACCAACUUUUUAAAUCUGUGACAAUUAGUGAGCAGAAAAUUUCAGUUCGCUAAGAAUGUAUUAUAGGCAACUUUAUUGGAUAGGUGAACUUUUAAGAUCUUUUACAUUUCUGAACACCAUAGACUAUGAUAGUGAACUGAUGUCAUUUUUUGCACUUAAUCAUUUCCUUGAUUUACAUAUUUUUCAGGUCCUUGACCCCCCAAGAUU